CGUGGGGAACCUGCCCCAUAGUCUGGGAUACCACUUGGAAACAGGUGCUAAUACCGGAUAAGAAAGCAGAUCGCAUGAUCAGCUUUUAAAAGGCGGCGUAAGCUGUCGCUAUGGGAUGGCCCCGCGGUGCAUUAGCUAGUUGGUAAGGUAAAGGCCUACCAAGGCGAUGAUGCAUAGCCGAGUUGAGAGACUGAUCGGCCACAUUGGGACUGAGACACGGCCCAAACUCCUACGGGAGGCAGCAGCC
RNAcentral lists this ribosomal RNA (247 nucleotides) under uncultured Lactobacillus sp. RNAcentral describes it as "partial 16S ribosomal RNA". It matches the Rfam family "Bacterial small subunit ribosomal RNA", at positions 116 to 355 of the family's 1533-position model. The record is from RNAcentral. Lineage: Bacteria; Bacillati; Bacillota; Bacilli; Lactobacillales; Lactobacillaceae.